GGGGGGUGGGGGGUUUCCUAUUUUUGGGAGGAAUUCUCUUUUUUGGAGAGGAAUUCCCAUUUUUUUGCGGGGAAAUUCCCAUUUUUUGGGGUGAUUCCCAUUUCUUGGUGUGAUUCCCAUUUUUUGGGGGGAAAUUCCCGUUUUUGGGGUGGGGAAUUCCCAUUUUUGGGGUCUCCACAGUUUUUGGGGUUCCAGAUUUUCCCUGGCUUUGAGGAUUCUCUCUGGUUUUUAUGGGGUUUCCGUGUUUUGGGAGAAUUUUCCCUGGUUUUUAUGGGGUUUCCCUGGUUUUUAUGGGGUUUCCCUGGAUUUUAUAGGAUUUCCCUGUUUUUUAUGGGGUUUCUCCGUUUUUUACAGGAUUUCUCUCUUUUGGGGGGAAUUUUCUCUGUUUUUGGGGGAUUUCCCCUGCUUUUUAUGGGGUUUCUCUGUUUUGGGGGGAUUUUCCCUGUUUUUGAUGGGGUUUCUCUGGUUUUUAUGGGGUUUCCCUGUUUUUUAUGGGGUUUCCCUGUUUUUUAUGGGGUUUCUCUGUUUUGGGGGGAUUUUCCCUAUUUUUUAUGGGGUUUCCCUGUUUUUCAUGGGAUUUCUCUGGUUUUUUAUGGGGUUUCUCUGUUUUUUACAGGAUUUCUCUCUUUUGGGGGGAAUUUUCUCUGUUUUUGGGGGAUUUCCCCUGCUUUUUAUGGGGUUUCCCUGUUUUGGGGGAUUUUCCCUGGUUUUUAUGGGGUUUCUCUGUUUUUAUGGGGUUUCUCUGGUUUUUAUGGGGUUUCUCUCUUUUGGGGGGAAUUUUCUCUGUUUUGGGGGGAUUUUCCCUGUUUUUUAUGGGGUUUCCCUGUUUUGGGAGGAUUUUCCCUGUUUUUUAUGGGGUUUCCCUGUUUUGGGAGAAUUUUCCCUGGUUUUUAUGGGGUUUCCCUGUUUUGGGAGAAUUUUCCCUGUUUUUUAUGGGGUUUCUCUGUUUUUUAUGGGUUUUCCCUGGUUUUUAUGGGGUUUCCCUGGUUUUCAUGGGGUUUCUCUCUUUUGGGGGGAAUUUUCUCUGUUUUUUGGGGAAUUUUCCCUGCUUUUUGAUGGGGUUUGGGGACAUCGAGAUUGACACAAGGGUGGGGACAUGGGGACAGGGGGACACCGGGAUUUGGGGACAUCGGGAUUGGCAGCGGGAUGGGGACAGGGACACAGGACAGGGACACGGGGAUAUCAGGAUGGGGACAUCGGGAUUGACUCGGGGACAUUGGGAUGGGCACCAGGAUGGGGACAGGGACACGGGGAUGGGGACAAGGACACGGGGACACCGGGGUUGGGGACAUCGGGAUUGACCCGGGGACAUUGGGAUCGGCACCAGGAUGGGGACAGGGACACGGAUGGGGACAAGGACACGGGGACAGGGACAGGAAUGGGGACAGGGAAAAGGGGAUGGGGACAAGGACAGGGAUAUGGGGACAGGGACCUCGGGGCCUGGCAGUGCCACUGGCACAGGGACAAGGACACGGGGACACCGGGAUUUGGGACACCGGGACUGGGACACCGGGAUUGACUCGGGGACAUCGGGACGGGGACACGGGCGCAGGGAUGCAGACAGGGACAGGGAUUUGGGGACAUCGGGAUUUGGGGACAUCGGGGUUUGGGGACAUCGGGGUUUGGGGACAUCAGGAAUCUGGGGCCUGGUGGCAUCACUGGCGCGGGGCCAAGGCCGCAGGGACACGCGUGACACGCUCGGGGACACGCGCAGAGGACACGCGUGACACGCUCAGGUACGCGUGACACGCUCGGGGACACGCAGGGGACACGCGUGUGCAGCCCCGGGUGACGCAGCAGCCGCCUCGCGGCCGGGCCGGGGGGGCCUGGCAGCCCCGGGUGUCCCCUGGGUGUCCCUUGGGUGUCCCCUGGGUGUCCCUUGGGUGUCCCUGGCACACCUGGCACACCUGGCACACCUGGCACACCUGGCACACCCCCCGUGUCCCUUGCACGCCCCCCCGGCUCCUUCCAGCACCUUCCCCGCCCCUGCCCGGCCCUUGCACGCCCCUGCGGCACCGCAGCGGCGCCUUGCACACUCACCCACCCUGAGCCUUGCACACCCAUCCCUGAGCCUUGCACACCCACCCUGAGCCUUGCACACCCACCCUGAGCCUUGCACGCUCAUCCCUGAGCCUUGCACACUCACCCACCCUGAGCCUUGCACACCCACCCAGACCACUCCACGCUCAUCCUUGAGCCUUGCACGCUCACCCACCCUGAGCCUUGCACACCCACCCUGAGCCUUGCACACCCACCCUGAGCCUUCCACGCCCAUCUCUGAGCCUUGCACACCCACCCAGA
Molecule: long non-coding RNA, 2301 nt
Filed under: Lonchura striata (white-rumped munia)
Lineage: Eukaryota; Metazoa; Chordata; Aves; Passeriformes; Estrildidae
Description: domestica (Bengalese finch) lncRNA (ENSLSDG00000006143.1)
Source: RNAcentral